AAAAGUUGUAUAUGACUUGAAGUUUUGAUUUUAUUAUUUUGUAUAUAUACACAAUUGUGGGACAUAGCCCGAUGAUGUGGCAAGCCUCAUUGAACAGGAAAUCCAAUUAUUUUUUUUUUAUCCUACUUUCCUAUUAAUUUGCCUAUUCAAACGUCACUUCUUCAAAAACCUAAAGUCACGUCCUUUUUCUCUUCUUUCUCGUUAAGAAAACCAAAUAUGAUAGGCUUAAAAAUCCAAACUAGAACGUCUUUUUCAAACCGUUGCUUGCAACGUUACAAAUAACAGUUUGCUUGCCCGUUUUCUUUUAUCUCUUCACUAAUGCCUAUUAAAUAUGCCUGAAAGCACAAAUUUCUUUAUUCAAGUUGAACUUGCCCGUUUCACACCCUUCUGCGAUAUCUCGCAAGGUUUAUUUUGGAUGAUAUAUAUGAUGCCACAAAUAGCGCAACGGAAAGUCGGAAUAUGUUUAUGGAAAUGGCUAAAAGAAAAUGGAAGGUAUAUUUUAGUAAAUUGCUCGUGUAUAGGGAGGUGUCUUGAUAAAUUUUUAUACUGUAUUUUUCACAAUAAAUACAGAGUCUUACUUUAUACAUGAGGUUGAAUGUGGUUUUUGGGAUAAUAUCUCUGUUCUUGUAGCUAUGAAGUGAUUGUGCCCUUCAUUGCUUAUUUGAGAGCAAUAAUAGGUAAUCUAUUUUUUUGUUUGUAGAA
Molecule: non-coding RNA, 702 nt
Organism: Nicotiana tabacum (common tobacco)
Lineage: Eukaryota; Viridiplantae; Streptophyta; Magnoliopsida; Solanales; Solanaceae
Source: RefSeq, a predicted model, not a curated record